RNAcentral lists this long non-coding RNA (4834 nucleotides) under Sus scrofa (pig). RNAcentral describes it as "lncRNA (ENSSSCG00000058129.1)". The record is from RNAcentral. Lineage: Eukaryota; Metazoa; Chordata; Mammalia; Artiodactyla; Suidae.
CAGCGGAAAUGAAUCUGACUAGGAACCAUGAGGUUUCGGGUUCGAUCCCUGGCCUCGCUCAGUGGGUUAAGGAUCUGGCAUUGCUGUGAGCUGUGGUGUAGGUCACAGAUGUGGCUUGGUUCCCAAUUGCUGUGGCUGUGGAGUAGGCUGGCAGCUGUAGCUCCGAUUCAACCCCUAGCCUGGGAACCUCCAUAUGCCGCAGGUACAGCCCCAAAAGGAAAAAAAGACAAAAAAAAAAAAGUUAUGUAAACUAAUACUCCUCCUUAUAAAUUAUUCUGCAUUUAAUUUUAAUUUAGGUGCUAGAUUUUUUAAUUGAACCAAUAUCUGCAAUUAUUAUUGUGUUCUUUAAUAUCCUCAACCCAAUUCUUCAAGUUUUCCAUGCACUCAAAGUAAAUGCCAGCUUCGAGUCUAAACAAUUGACCUAAUAGUAGAAUUAAUGUAGGGUCAAUGUAUUAAAUGCUAUCUCUCCAGAAAGAUUUGAUUAUUGUAUGGUUGUUGGCUGAGGGAUCAUCUUUACUUUGAAACUUUUUUGGUCAGUGACUAUUUGCAUGACUUGGCUGGUACUGAAUUGGUUGCUUCUGCUCUCUGUGCUAUAAAGGUGUCCAGUCUAACUAGCUUCAUAUUAAGAUAGAUACAAGGGCAUCACAGGAAGGACAUUUUCCUGGCCAUCGGUAUGGUUCUCAUUUAACGUCCUUAACCUUAUAGGUGAAUUUCUGUCCUACUAGGUUUACCAGGGGCUGGGAAACUAAAAAGGGACUAUAAAUAUGCCAUGCCUUAGGUUGAAUAUGGCUUUAAUCUCCCAGAUAGAAUCCUAGCAUGUUUCAAAAGAAUUUACUACUAAUCCAAUAGAAUAAACAUAUAUGUUAACCUUUAAAGCCAUAAAUACUCCUUUUUUUCUAAUUAUGUGUAACCUAGAAACAUGAAGCUAAACCUCGUUUGUCAGUUAUGAUAUUGUUCAUACAACUCAUUUAUCUUCGUGAAAACUACAGCUGAAAUUAUAAAUACCACUUCUAUUGAAUAUACUUGUAUUUAUUUGGCCUAGAAUAUUUUAUAAAGGACAGGGCUUUGUGCACUAACUACUUAGAUGACUAAGUCCUUAAGAAAUAAUACCCACAGAUGUUUCAUCACAUAUCUCUUUGGAUGGAUUGAUGUGGGGAAACUUUUCUCAUACAAACUCAUAUUCAUGCAUAUUUCUGUUGGAGAAUUCCAGUUAAUCACUGCUGUAUGGCUACCUUUCCAUUGACUAAGAUCACCUUAAUGUCCAAGCAGGGACAUAUUCUUAUUUUUCUAGGCUCAGGGCAAGUCCAUUUUCUCUGCAGAAUUUUCCUCAAUACUUAACCAAAAAAAUGGGUUUGAUGAGUUGGGUAUGGAUAUGUGGAAACAUUUUUUCCUCUUUUUUUUAUGAGCAUGUGGUCUGUAUAUUUAUUUAUUUAUUACAGAACUGAUAGCAUUUUCUCUCUCUCUCUCUUGCUUUUUUUAGGGGGAAGGCUGCACUCAUGGCAGCAUAUGGAAGUUCCCAGGCUAGGAACUGAAUCAGAGGUACCAGCCUGCACCACAGCCACAACCAAGUGGGAUGCAAGACAUAUCUGCAACCUACACCACAGCUCAUAGCAAUGCCGGAUCCUUAACGGACUGAGCGAGGCCAGGGAUAGAAUGUGUGUCCUCAUGGCUACUAGUCAGGUUCGUUACCACUGAGCCACAACAGGAAUUUCGUAUUCUCUUUUAUACUACAGUUAUUAAUGCUGGCCUUGAGGGGAAAAAAGAAAACUAUUUACUUAGUUAAAAUUGUUAUCCUUUCUUUCCAUACCUAGCAGAGAACUUGCACAUAGCAAAUGCCUAGAAGGUCUGAAUCCAAUCAUAUUGUUUAUAAUUUCUAAAACGGGUACCCUUAAAAAUAUUUUCCAAUGGCCUUUCAAUAUUCUUACCCUGAUGCAAAGAAGAAUAAAGGCUACUUCCCUAAAAUCUCUGUGGGUAACUAGGUGCCUGAGAAAAUUCUUUAGGCAGCUGCAAAUAGUCAAAAAUAUUAAAUUGAAUUUUCAAGAAAAGCUCCUUAAAGUUAGAUAUCUAUAAGUUUGUAGUGUUGGUUUGUUAAGCACCAGAGAUCAUGCCAGAAACAGAAACUCAAGGAUCACUUUUCUUGAAUUCAAUUCUCAAGAUCUUGGUUCAUAUUACAUUAACUAAACUUGAGUCAAGUCAAAUUGAAUUGCCACAGACACUUGCCCCCAAAUUCUGCUUCUCCCCAUCCUAGGCCAAGACCUUUGUUGGCUCUGCCAGAAACUAAAAGUACUUGGGCAGAAACACAAAUGGACUGAAGGAUAAGGGUAGACAUAAGUUCUAUUAUUAACCCCCACCCUUGUUAUCUAUGUGUUAAAAUCUGACUCAUUCUCUUCCGUAAAAAAUAAUUAAACACAGUGUUUAUUUUCAAGGUGUCAGGUAUAGUGUGGGUAGGUACUUGAAAUUUUCUGUGCAUGUCUCUGCAAACACACCUGGCUUGUAAUGGACAUCGCAUUUUGAUCGUCCAUCACUCUGAAACUAAGGCUGCCUAACAAGGUUUGACAGUUGGGGUGGCAAAUUAGAAGAUUUUUAUAUGUUCAAAUGGGGAUAAGGCUGGAGCUGCCAAAGUUGUACUCACUUGUGACCUAAAUAUCCAAGAAAGAAAAAGCCAAUGCCAUUAAAAAUUGUGUCAUCUCCUCUCCAUGAUUCAAUAAUGAAAGCUUACCGGCCAGCAGACUGUCAGCUGCAUUCUGUUUAAUCAUUGGAAAUUGUGUGCACUAUAUCUGUGAAGCCUAAAUGGAAAAAGUUGCCACUGCAAUUGCAUCUUCUUCCUACCAAUAAAUCAAUGUAGAGGAAGUAGAGAGAAAGAAGGCCACCUGACAGCUUUCCAUCAGAACACCAAUCAUAAAUUAGCACUCACAGAGAACAUGUCACAUAACAACUGUCUCUCAGGGACUCUGAGUUAAGCAAUGAAAGAGAUGCUGUAGUUUUAAAAGGUUGCGAUUCCAGACAUCUCAGACCUGGAUUUCAUGAAGGCAAAGGAAACCACCCAGUGAGAAAGUUCACUCUAUCUCUGAAGGUAAAGCUGUCUACCUUCCCUCAUUUUUGACACUUGGGAUGCUUAAGAGGAUGAUAGGUUUUAUAGCUGCAACUAGACCGACCUUGAUCUCUUUCACUGAUAGCAUUUCUUAAGACUCUCCCCAUAAUGCAAGGCAAGUUCAUUGUUUUCUCAUUUUUUGAAAGAAAGCACCACUGUGUAAAAUAUGAUUUUCAACUUGAUGGCAGCAUGCCUCAGUGAUUUAGGUGGUAUUGAAUUCUUGCAUAAGUUCACUGUAUAAACCCAGAAAAAGAAUGCUGCUUUGACAGCAAGAGAAGGAAAGUUUCCUUCCUAAAUCAUUAGGUUAGAAACAUACUUAUUCAAAACAUACACUGAAUUCCACAUUUCUUGGAUUUGGCAUAUGGAGUUUAAAAGAGUUAGAUAUAAGACUAAAUGAAUCCAUAUUUUAAAGAAAAUUUUUAAAAAAUGCAUAAUUAAAAUCCAAAUUUUACAAAAUCACUAUUAAUCUGGUAAAUAUUUAAAGAUAUGAAGUCACAAAUUUUAUAAUAAUGUAACAAAAACAACAGGUUUCCUUUCCUUUUUCUUCAAUACCUGCAAAUUUCCAAAUCUCUUUCACCUCUUGCUUUCUAUAUUGUUUUAAUAUAAUAUGAUAUCAUAUACUUAUUUUUUAAGACUAAAAAUGGUAUGGAAAAUAAUGAGGUAUCACAGUAUCUCUAACUUUACAAAUGUGUAACCCGGGAAUGGGAUGUCUAUGCUCAAAAGACUCAAAUUAUAUCAUAUUUUGAUAAGGAUUAUUAGGAACUUUCUCUCACAUUUCAGUAUUCUAUUCCAGAAGAACAUGCAAAUGGUCCCUUAAAAUAAAAACAACUCAGAGUUAUAAGAGAUCUCAGAACUCAUGAAUUUCACCUUGUACCUAAUAUGAGAAUAUUCUUCAGACAGCCCUGACAAUGGUAAUUGGCCCUCUGCUUGAACAUUUCCAAUGAAAGGGUAUGCAUUACUUCAAAGGGAUGCUAUUCUGUCACUGGAUAAUUAUAGUCGUUAAAAAUAUUUUGCCUUUUAUCAAGAGAAAUAUAAAUUAAAAAAGUAAAAUUUUGUCUGUGCUUUUGGUGUGUCAGCCAGGGGCUCUGGGGCCCUUUCUUUCAUCACUGCACAUCUUUCCAGUUGAAAAUCAACCUCCAGAACUGAAUAAUUACCUCAGGUGUAGAUUGACCAAUGCAAAUAAACUGAAGGCUACUAGCUCAUUUAAUCUUAAAAGCAAACUUCAUUCAUAUUACAACUUCUCGUUAUUUUGUAUCACAAAUGGGGUUCUGGAAUUAGAUGUCACUCUCAAGUGGGGAAUUAAGGAAACCUUAAAAGGGACUGUUACAAAGUGUGGGCAGUGUUAUGGAUAAUCAAUAAGAAUUAGUGACGCUCUCUGGGCCUUGCAACAGAGAAGAGCUUUUACCUUCCUUAGGCCUGAAGAGGCAAGUGGAGAGCGUGUUUACUGUCACCCAGUGAGCAUAGUUGUAGGAAAGGGUUGCUUGUCAGGAGCUGUGGACUUUGGUAGAGACCAAAGUGGCCCAGCCGGAAGGAGUUAAGAAAUUAAAUGGCCUGUUCAUCUGUGUUCCUGCCUUCUGAUCUGUUUAUACCUCUUUUUCAUUAAAUGCAACUAGAAGCCAGAAACCGAAGUUCACUGACACAGUACACAAAGAUCAGAUUCCCUGGGCACAGAGACAGGUAGAAAAAGGUGAAGAGUGGAUAAGAAAGAGCAAAGAGGAACCUCCACAUGCAGCAGGUGUGGCC